CUCUGGCUGAAAAAUUAUAUAUACUAAAAAAUACCUGUAAAACAAAUGCAUAUAGCUACACACAUGUCAACUGAUACAGGAACAAAGAGCUGCUCCCAGUUCAUUUCACAUUUCCUUUUGCCAUUUGCCAAAAGACGUUCAGCUGAAGUCAGCAGAACUUCCCAUUGCUCCCCAAUUACUGCCUCCGACUCGGAGCAAACCAUGACAGCUUCACGUUUGCUUCUACAUUUCAUUUUUAUGGCACUGCAACAUCUGCAGAGGAUGCUGUAAUUAAAAGAAGGAAUAAAAUUAAGUUUUAAAAAAAAGUACGGAUGCAAGUCAGCUGGUUUGCCUGAGGAAAAUGGAUAUACAGCAAGUGAAUGAGUACGGAUGGCCCUCAGCAACAGCAGUCAGCAAACUGUAACCUCCUGAACUCAACAUCACUGCGACUGCUGAAGUGCUGUUGUGAGGAGGUUCUGCAUUCCUGGUUUGCAUGUUCAGCUCGUCAUCUCCUCCUAAACACAGCCCAGGAACUAUUGAUUGAUUGGCUUGACAUCCUUCAAAUGCAACGUGAAGACUGAUGGAUAAAUCCCAGCUUUCCACCUCGCCUGACCUGAAAAGCUCCAUUCUUACCCUCGGUGACACUGCAGCACUAUUGUGCAUCCUCACACAAAGAGCCUGAACUGAAACAACACCAUGCAACAGCACUGUCCAGCAAUGCAAACAACCUUCCUCAAACUCAACAGCCUGCUGAGGAAAAGACAGCAGUGCCUGGGGACAGCAGCACCACAGCACAGCAGAUGCGCUCCGCUGCUCACCCAACACCUCACCCCCAAGCAUUAAUUUUUGCUGUGCCACAAGCUGCUGUUUCAAGUUUAACGCUGUGCUUUCCUGGAUUUCACAACUGAUUUAAAAAUAGAACGAACAGAAGAUUCUUUCCUCUAAAGGUUUCGGUUCCUUCUUUGCAAAAGCUUCAUCGACUCCUCCUGGUGCAACACGGUCUGACCUCCAGCUGAAAUCAGCCACCACUGCAUCAGUCCUUGGGGUUUAAUGACCAACCCUCAUGAGCCAUACAGACUGCACACCAAAACAACGAAGACAGGACACAGAACGGGUGGAAAACCAAACCAAGAUUUCACUCUAAACAAGGAAAAGAGCUAUUAAAACUAUAUUCAAUUACCAAAACAGCAUUUGGUGCUGAGUGAGGGUCUGGAUCGGUUAUCAGGUGCCAGAUGUCAUCUCUUCAGCUCACCCAGAAGGAUGCAGCGAUGUUCAACGCGUGCAUCACACACAAAAUCUGACUGUGAAAGUGCCAGCAAGUCUUCUGCUCCGUUUGCUUUGCUGCUGGUUGUUCUGCUAACGCUUGGGAAGGCGAAGGAGGAAAGGCAUUCCAGCAGCACACUGUGAAGAACACCAUGCAUUUGUCCAUCUACAGCCUGCAGUAAGGUUGAUGAUGCUGUGUAAACAUUGAAGCACUCUCUCUGGCACCCCUGUGCCCCUCAGCCCCAGAAACAACACAGCAGCAGCUCACUGCAUGCAGGCCUGAGCCUCCUCUUGCAAACACUGACCAAGAAGGAAUGAGGACAGAUGUACUGACAGAGUUCUAGCUGUCUCAUCUCUGCAGACUGUCACCCUUCCAUGGGGAAGAAGUGCACUGUCUGCUAUACAGCCUCAUCCCAAAGAAGCAGGACUUGCAAAUCAGCUUCAAAAGCCAUUUUCCCUUCUAACCUCCAGCAAAGAAUACGAGCGAGAGGCCUUCACUGAGGAGUGCAAGAAAGGACCUUUGGCUCCGGGAUGACAAACAGCUCAGAGGCCACACAGCUCCAUGGCUUCUCAUUCCGGCUAUUGUCAGCUAAUAAUAGAACCACAGAGCCCACACAGCCUGGUGCUGGCUAUCCACGUUUCCAUCUGAGAGCUAUUUAAAGCGUCAAACGAGCAAGUUUCUCUUUGAAUGUCAGCUCAAUACGGGAAGUCGGGGCCAGCACAGCCUGCAGCAUCGCUGCAUUCCCCAAGGCUGCCUGUUAAUUACGCAGCACAGAGCUGAUCUUGCAUGGAAGCUGUGGUUGCAAUGCUGCUCCUGCACGACCAAAGCAUCUGGCUUUGGAACAUCAAUGGCACACGCAGAGCCAUUGAAUAACUCGGGUGGGAAGGGAGACUGUACACCAAAUCGCUUUCACAGGGUAAAUGUUACCUCAGCUGCACUUGCAGUAAGCUGGCAAUUCAGUAAUUCUCUAUGGAAUUACACAGAAAUGUCUGUAGAAGUAAAAACACCACCAAGCUGCUGCUUCAGUGCUCGUCCUGUGCUGGUGGUGAGGACAGGCACUCAGCCGUGUGCUGCUUUCCAAGAAGCAGACAGCAGGAACCUCUGUAUGGGUUCCCAAUCCCUCAUGCAUCACACGCCAUUCCCCUGGGACACUGCCCACCUCUCAGCAUGGCUUACAUUUACUUAUGAAGCGAUGCACCUUCCACAGGACAAAACAACACGCUCAUAUUAUUUCUGUAAAGAUUCAAGUUUUCCUUCAGAAUCGAUGCUGGAAUAUCAGUCUUUAAGAAGCCUGGGAGCUCCUCAGGAUUUAGGAGCCCCAUCGCCACCCCAGCACUCUGCACACAAGCCUGGCAGUGCUCCUCACCCUGCAGCUCAGCCCUUCCUUGUGCCAUUCCCAUUGCAACAACUGGGACUGCAUACGAAGCAGGACUGAAAAAAAAACGUAGUGAAGUCCUCCACACUGACUUCUUGCUUGCUAAAGUAGAUUUCAUUUAUUCUCAGUCUGCAGACUGCUCAACGUGAACAGAACAUUGAAGGAGAUAUCACUGAGGAACCCCUUGGCAAGCCAAGAAAAGCCAGCUCUCAAAGUGAACCCACUGCUUGCCUGCUCUCCUCCAAGCUUUGGGCUCAGUGGAGCCGCCAACAGAACUGAGACCAGCCUGCAUCCAAACCUACUGACAGCAGUGAAGAUAAGAGCAAGUUGUUCUGCUCAGUGCAAACCCACGGUGGGGAGCAGCUCUCAUCCAGAGCCUGCAGAAAUGCUGCAUAUGGCAGAGCAAAAGAGCUCGAGUUAAACCCAAAACAGCCACACGGGGAAGUGAAGAAUAAGCGUAUAAAAAUACCAACUUAGGUAGUGAAAGAAAUGCAGUCUGCACUAUUCGUUUACUUAGCCUAACCACACCAUUAACCAUUCGCCAUCAGUAAUAACAGACAUCCUCACCAUCACCACUAUGCAGAGAAUAUCCGUGCUGUCAGUAUGAACAGCCUAACCUCAAACCAAGCUAAGGCACGUAGGAAAUGACAUCACCACGGAACCAGAAUCCCAAUUGUCAGUCCAUCCUAAUCACUGACGCGGCCAAGUGCAUUUCUCUUAGCUCUCCGUGCACUUUUCCCCUUCCUUGGAUGGGGACGAUGGCUUUGUAGCUGUGUCUGUUCCAGCCCCAGCUGAUAUGCAGAUGAAAAAGCCAAGGGAUGGCUCAGCAGGGAAGGGCUGCAGGGUGUGCUUCAGCACUGAGAGCUCACAGCUGCAGGGAAGUGCCCACCAAGCCCCUGUGCGACAGGCAGUGGGUGAGCAUCUCUGGCCACGUUCUCAACUCACCCAUCUUUUUGGCAGCUCAAAGGUUUGUAAGUUUUAAAGCACGUCUGACAUUCAGGACCGUCAAUCCAGCAUCUCUGCCAGCACUGAGGUUCAUGUAAGCCCUUAACUCCUAAAAAUAAACCAUCAAGGAAACAUUCAUUCAGUCUCAUUCCCACCGGAGCAAGAACAACUUUGGAAGAAUCAUUAAAAAAAAAAAAAGCAUUUAAAAAUAGCAAACCUGUUUAUUUGCAUUCUGAAAUUUCAGUGGAGCAUCUCUUUCCCACUCAUUCCCAGUCCAACUCCCGAAGGCAGAAGGCAGGGAGGACAAGAAAAAAAAGAGCAAAAGGAGUCAAGAGAAAUGCUCUGAGUGCUGCCUGGCUGCACUUUAGCUACGUGCCAAUACUACUCAGCACUGCACCUCACUGAUGGAAUUGCUUCUGAUUGUUCUUUGCUGGAUGAAGAGAGCAGAGCAGCGGCUGCACAGCUGUGCAGGAACACCCUGAGCAGCAUCUCCAACCACACAGACCAAAAGAUUAAAAAAAAAAACAACCCCACGACGUUCUCUCAACGCAUUUCAAGAUCUGUAAUGGAAUCCCAUAAAUCUCAGCAGGGUCGUUGUUUUAAGGUCACGUCGAGUAAUUGGCUGCCCUUUAAUCUCUGCACCUCCUUUCGGUCUGCUCCGAACGCAGCACUGCUUCUCUGCAUCUUUUGGAUCUCUGAAAUGAGAGGUGCUGCCCAACACCCCGAGCAACGCGGUGACACAAAGCAACAUUGCCACCACCACCACGUUGGGCUGCACGGAUGCUGAACAAACAGAAGUCAAUGGACUCUUUCCUGCAGAUGCUGCUCUUGGAGGAACCCACAGCAGCAGGAAAGCACAGCAGCCUUGACCACCAGCUCCUUCCCAUGAUACCAACAGAGCCUUCCUCCCUCGAGGACCACGGCACUGUGAUGUUCCUACCAUGGGUGCUCCCUCAGACACAGCCACAAAUUCAUUGCUCACUGCUUUCAGCACAUAAAAGAUGAAUUCACCGACAGGGAUUUUCCACCCAGCCCAACUCUGGGAUUUCUUCCCUUGGUUUACAUGCAAGGUUCACCCCCACCUGCCCCCAGGGCACUUACAGACACAUUUUCUGGAGAGAGAGAGAGAGAAAGAUGAAAGGCAUUUCAGCAGCAGAGGGAUGCACCAAGCUCCUUACAGCUAUUGGGUUCAUUCUGAUGGAUGUAGGGGGGGGGAAGAGAUAAUUUGAUUGAAAGCAGGGAACCCUCUGAUUAACCACAAACUACUAAUGCUCCAGCUUUGAUUAAAGCAAUACACAGUUAAAUCUCUGCCAGCAACUGCAUGCUGCCUGUCCUCUGCUUCUCCUUUCUAUAGCAUGACUCAUGGGGGAGCCAAAAAAAAAAAAAAAAGAG
Phasianus colchicus (ring-necked pheasant) is the source of this 4955-nucleotide non-coding RNA. Lineage: Eukaryota; Metazoa; Chordata; Aves; Galliformes; Phasianidae. The record is from RefSeq and is a predicted model, not a curated record.